This 679-nucleotide ribosomal RNA is filed under the name uncultured archaeon. RNAcentral's name for it is "bacterial SSU rRNA". It matches the Rfam family "Archaeal small subunit ribosomal RNA", at positions 633 to 1310 of the family's 1478-position model. The record is from RNAcentral.
UGAAAUCCUGUAAUCCCGGGAGGACCACCUGUGGCGAAGGCGCUCGGCUGGAACGGGUCCGACGGUGAGGGACGAAGGCCUGGGGAGCGAACCGGAUUAGAUACCCGGGUAGUCCAGGCUGUAAACGAUGCGGGCUAGGUGUCACCGGAGCUACGAGCUCCGGUGGUGCCGGAGGGAAGCCGUUAAGCCCGCCGCCUGGGAAGUACGGCCGCAAGGCUGAAACUUAAAGGAAUUGGCGUGGGAGCACUACAACGGGUGGAGCCUGCGGUUUAAUUGGAUUCAACGCCGGGAAGCUUACCGGGGGAGACAGCGGGAUGAAGGUCGGGCUGAAGACCUUACCAGACUAGCUGAGAGGUGGUGCAUGGCCGCCGUCAGUUCGUACUGUGGAGCAUCCUGUUAAGUCAGGCAACGAGCGAGACCCGCGCCCUCAGUUGCCAGCGGGUCCCUUCCGGGACGCCGGGCACACUGAGGGGACUGCCGGCGCUAAGCCGGAGGAAGGUGCGGGCAACGGCAGGUCCGUAUGCCCCGAAUCCCCCGGGCUACACGCGGGCUACAAUGGCCGGGACAAUGGGUGCCGACCCCGAAAGGGGUGGGUAAUCUCCUAAACCCGGUCUAACCUGGGAUCGAGGCUGCAACUCGCCCUCGUGAACCUGGAAUCCGUAGUAAUCGCGUCUCAAAA